ACCGAUAGUGAACCAGUACCGUGAGGGAAAGGCGAAAAGAACCCCGGCGAGGGGAGUGAAAAAGAACCUGAAACCGUGUACGUACAAGCAGUAGGAGCCUCUUUAUGGGGUGACUGCGUACCUUUUGUAUAAUGGGUCAGCGACUUAUAUUCUGUAGCAAGGUUAACCGUAUAGGGGAGCCGUAGGGAAACCGAGUCUUAACUGGGCGAAUGAGUUGCAGGGUAUAGACCCGAAACCCGGUGAUCUAUCCAUGGGCAG
RNAcentral lists this ribosomal RNA (258 nucleotides) under Proteus mirabilis. RNAcentral describes it as "partial 23S ribosomal RNA". It matches the Rfam family "Bacterial large subunit ribosomal RNA", at positions 483 to 743 of the family's 2925-position model. The record is from RNAcentral. Lineage: Bacteria; Pseudomonadati; Pseudomonadota; Gammaproteobacteria; Enterobacterales; Morganellaceae.